GAUGAACGCUGGCGGCGUGCUUAACACAUGCAAGUCGAACGGAAAGGCUCCUGCUUGCAGGGGUACUCGAGUGGCGAACGGGUGAGUAACACGUGGGUGAUCUGCCCUGCACUUCGGGAUAAGCCUGGGAAACUGGGUCUAAUACCGGAUAGGACCACAUUUUGGAUGGUGUGGUGGAAAGUUUUUCGGUGUGGGAUGAGCUCGCGGCCUAUCAGCUUGUUGGUGGGGUAAUGGCCUACCAAGGCGUCGACGGGUAGCCGGCCUGAGAGGGUGUACGGCCACAUUGGGACUGAGAUACGGCCCAGACUCCUACGGGAGGCAGCAGUGGGGAAUAUUGCACAAUGGGCGCAAGCCUGAUGCAGCGACGCCGCGUGGGGGAUGACGGCCUUGGGGUUGUAAACUCCUUUCGCUAGGGACGAAGCGUUUUUGUGACGGUACCUGGAGAAGAAGCACCGGCUAACUACGUG
Molecule: ribosomal RNA, 467 nt
Filed under: uncultured bacterium
Lineage: Bacteria
Description: partial 16S ribosomal RNA
Rfam family: Bacterial small subunit ribosomal RNA
Source: RNAcentral